RNAcentral lists this ribosomal RNA (433 nucleotides) under uncultured bacterium. RNAcentral's name for it is "partial 16S ribosomal RNA". It matches the Rfam family "Bacterial small subunit ribosomal RNA", at positions 29 to 507 of the family's 1533-position model. The record is from RNAcentral.
AACGAACGCUGGCGGCAGGCCUAACACAUGCAAGUCGAGCGAGGACUUCGGUUCUAGCGGCGGACGGGUGAGUAACGCGUGGGAAUGUGCCCUUCUCUACGGAAUAGCCCUGGGAAACUGGGAGUAAUACCGUAUACGCCCUAUUGGGGAAAGAUUUAUCGGAGAAGGAUCAGCCCGCGUUGGAUUAGGUAGUUGGUGGCGUAAUGGCCUACCAAGCCUACGAUCCAUAGCUGGUUUGAGAGGAUGAGCAGCCACACUGGGACUGAGACACGGUCGAGACUCCUACGGGAGGCAGCAGUGGGGAAUCUUAGACAAUGGGGGCAACCAUGAUCUAGCCAUGCUGCGUGAGUGAUGAAGGCCUUAGGGUUGUAAAGCUCUUUCAGAUGGGAAGAUAAUGACGGUACCAGCAGAAGAAGCCCCGGCUAACUCCGUG